Molecule: ribosomal RNA, 451 nt
Filed under: uncultured bacterium
Lineage: Bacteria
Description: bacterial SSU rRNA
Rfam family: Bacterial small subunit ribosomal RNA
Source: RNAcentral
GUGGGGAAUAUUGGACAAUGGGGGCAACCCUGAUCCAGCCAUGCCGCGUGUGUGAAGAAGGCCUUUUGGUUGUAAAGCACUUUAAGCAGGGAGGAGAGGCUAAUGGUUAAUACCCAUUAGAUUAGACGUUACCUGCAGAAUAAGCACCGGCUAACUCUGUGCCAGCAGCCGCGGUAAUACAGAGGGUGCGAGCGUUAAUCGGAAUUACUGGGCGUAAAGCGAGUGUAGGUGGCUCAUUAAGUCACAUGUGAAAUCCCCGGGCUUAACCUGGGAACUGCAUGUGAUACUGGUGGUGCUAGAAUAUGUGAGAGGGAAGUAGAAUUCCAGGUGUAGCGGUGAAAUGCGUAGAGAUCUGGAGGAAUACCGAUGGCGAAGGCAGCUUCCUGGCAUAAUAUUGACACUGAGAUUCGAAAGCGUGGGUAGCAAACAGGAUUAGAAACCCCAGUAGUCC